Molecule: ribosomal RNA, 536 nt
Filed under: Navicula vara
Lineage: Eukaryota; Bacillariophyta; Bacillariophyceae; Naviculales; Naviculaceae
Description: eukaryotic LSU rRNA
Rfam family: Eukaryotic large subunit ribosomal RNA
Source: RNAcentral
UAAUUAAGCGGAGGAAAAGAAACUAACUAGGAUUCCCUCAGUAAGGGCGACUGAAGGGGGAAAAGCUCAGUAUGUGAAUCUGUGUUUCGGCACCGAAUUGUGGUCUGCAGACUCUAGCGUUAUUGGCCGGGCUAAGUCCCUUGGAACAGGGCAGCAUAGAGGGUGAGACUCCCGUCCGCCUGGCCUUUGGAGCUGGAUGUCUUCGAGUCGAGUUGUUUGGGAUUGCAGCUCAAAGCGGGCGGUAAAUUCCAUCUAAAGCUAAAUAUUGGUGGGAGACCGAUAGCGUACAAGUACCGUGAGGGAAAGAUGCAAAGAACUUUGAAAAGAGAGUUAAAGAGUACCUGAAAUUGCUGAAAGGGAAGCGAAGGAAAUCAGUGCCGGCCGAGUCAUAUUUCUCCCUUCGCUUGCGGAGUGGGCGCUGUGUCUUGGCCACUGUCAGGCUUGGUUGGGCUGUUCGGAAUCGCGCUGUGAGAGUUGAUCACUGCAUGUCUGCGACUGGCCCGACUGAGGUUGACGAAAUGGUUUUCUUUACCCCG